AAAAGAAAACAGAAAAAGCUAUCUGGAUCUCAAUAAUAGGGUUCAUGCAAUGAAUGGGUAUGAAGGUGGGUUGAAGAUGAUUGAGGAACUGACCACAAAUGCUGAGCAAACUCAAGACGAGGUAUUGAGGGAAAUAUUAAGUAGAAAUAUAGGAACAAGUAUUUAAUGGGAUUCCUCCAUGGUCAAACCGAGAAGCAACUCUUUAAGAAAAAUGUUCCCAUAGUUACGUAUAAAGAUCUCAAGCCUUACAUAGAUAGGAUUGCUAAUGGGGGAGACAUCAGAUAUCCUUUUAGCUGAACCCGUUACAGGGUUCUUUCUAAGGCAUGCAUGAAUUUGUUGCUUUGCUUCUGUGUGUUUUGGGGUAUUUGUUGUUUCCUUCUAAUUGCUUUAUUAUCUUUUGGAUCAAAUGCAGCUCUAGGACUUCAGGCGGGCAGCCAAAGCUGUUGCCUGUCACUGCUGAAUAUCAGAAAAAACAAGCGAAACAGACCUUUUCAAGGUUGUGACACAAGCAAAGACUCUUGUUAAACAUUGGUCUGCAAUGCAACAUUAGACCAGCAGCAACUCUAAAAGGAUGGCAGCAUUGAAGCCGAACCAGAAGCAGCCUUAGCAUUUUGUUUCUUUUUUUCAAAUGUAACUUGCUUUAGUUGGUUUGUAACUUGUAAUCAAAGUUAGUAAGACUUUUUGAUGUAAUGGAUGUAAUGGCUGAUCAUAUCAGCUUACUUGUGUAUGUGGUUCACAUUUUGUAAUUGUUAAGUAUUACUGGGAGUAGCUAAGUCAUUAGGUAAAUUUCCAUUGACUUUGUAAUUCAUUUAAGCUACUAUUUUUUCUCAAUGAAAUCAUGAAUUUUUCAGUUAUUC
This 857-nucleotide long non-coding RNA is filed under the name Gossypium barbadense (sea-island cotton). Its description in RNAcentral is "long non-coding RNA (GBAR_LNC004767)". The record is from RNAcentral. Lineage: Eukaryota; Viridiplantae; Streptophyta; Magnoliopsida; Malvales; Malvaceae.